GGAGGUAUCAGCCAGUGGCUGAAUGCGUGCCUAGCAUGCAUGAGGCCCUGGGUUCAAUCCCCAGUACCUCCU
This 72-nucleotide transfer RNA is filed under the name Camelus dromedarius (Arabian camel). It matches the Rfam family "tRNA". Rfam says of the family: Transfer RNA (tRNA) molecules are approximately 80 nucleotides in length. Their secondary structure includes four short double-helical elements and three loops (D, anti-codon, and T loops). Further hydrogen bonds mediate the characteristic L-shaped molecular structure. tRNAs have two regions of fundamental functional importance: the anti-codon, which is responsible for specific mRNA codon recognition, and the 3' end, to which the tRNAs corresponding amino acid is attached (by aminoacyl-tRNA synthetases). tRNAs cope with the degeneracy of the genetic code in two manners: having more than one tRNA (with a specific anti-codon) for a particular amino acid; and 'wobble' base-pairing, i.e. permitting non-standard base-pairing at the 3rd anti-codon position. Lineage: Eukaryota; Metazoa; Chordata; Mammalia; Artiodactyla; Camelidae. The record is from Rfam by way of RNAcentral. RNAcentral also lists the same sequence under 1 other name.